GUUUUUCUAACAAAUAAGACCGUAGAAAUGCUAAAUAAUGCUUGUAUCCAUGCAUAUACCUCAAUAAAAAAGAAUCUAGGUCUUGAAGAAAAGAAAAAGAUUUGAGGCUCGUGAAAAGUUGGAAGGCGAAAUGUUGAAUUUAAUUUAAAAAAAAAAAAUCAUGCAAAUAAGGAAAAGCUGAAAAAAAAUCCAAAAAUUUGUGGGGUCAACUAACCCGAAAUGCACCCAUGUGCAUCCUCCCCCACUCCUUUUGUAAGGUUUCGUUCCCACCUUAAGGCACAUAUUGGACUCUAUCACCAACCCUCAUAGCCCAAGGUCGUGUUUUGCCCUCCUCAGAAUGAGUCGUUAUCGACCAAAGGGAUGAUCGAGGAUGCACAUCCACUUGACCUCUUCAUUCUCAACUUCAAUACUCGACACCUUAAAGAAUUGGGGUGUGGUCAGCUAUGAG
Molecule: long non-coding RNA, 448 nt
Filed under: Olea europaea (common olive)
Lineage: Eukaryota; Viridiplantae; Streptophyta; Magnoliopsida; Lamiales; Oleaceae
Description: long non-coding RNA (OEUR_LNC007934)
Source: RNAcentral